This 406-nucleotide ribosomal RNA is filed under the name uncultured bacterium. RNAcentral's name for it is "partial 16S ribosomal RNA". It matches the Rfam family "Bacterial small subunit ribosomal RNA", at positions 30 to 526 of the family's 1533-position model. The record is from RNAcentral.
AUUGAACGCUGGCGGCAGGCUUAACACAUGCAAGUCGAACGAGGGGCGGACGGGUGAGUAAUGCGUGGGAAUCUGGCUUAUGGAGGGGGAUAACUACGGGAACCUGUAGCUAAUACCGCUUACCAUCGGAUGAGCCAAGAUGGGAUUAGGUAGUUGGUGGGGUAAAGGCUCACCAAGCCGACGAUCCCUAGCUGGUCUGAGGGGAUGACCAGCCACACUGGAACUGAGACACGGCCCAGACUCCUACGGGAGGCAGCAGUGGGGAAUAUUGCACAAUGGGGGCAACCCUGAUGCAGCCAUGCCGCGUGAAUGAAGAAGGCCUUCGGGUUGUAAAGUUCUUUCGGCGGGGAGGCGUUACUCACAGAAGAAGCACCGGCUAACUCCGUGCCAGCAGCCGCGGUAAUAC